UGCCGGAUCGUCUAACGGUAGGACGCUCGGUUCUGGUCCGAGAAGUUGGGGUUCGAAUCCCUGUCCGGCAG
Molecule: transfer RNA, 71 nt
Filed under: Thermoleophilaceae bacterium
Lineage: Bacteria; Bacillati; Actinomycetota; Thermoleophilia; Thermoleophilales; Thermoleophilaceae
Description: tRNA-Gln
Rfam family: tRNA
About the family: Transfer RNA (tRNA) molecules are approximately 80 nucleotides in length. Their secondary structure includes four short double-helical elements and three loops (D, anti-codon, and T loops).
Source: RNAcentral